RNAcentral lists this ribosomal RNA (399 nucleotides) under uncultured bacterium. RNAcentral describes it as "bacterial SSU rRNA". It matches the Rfam family "Bacterial small subunit ribosomal RNA", at positions 355 to 772 of the family's 1533-position model. The record is from RNAcentral.
UGGGGAAUAUUGCACAAUGGGCGAAAGCCUGAUGCAGCAACGCCGCGUGAAGGAUGAAGGCCUUUGGGUCGUAAACUUCUGUCCUUGGGGAAGAAAAAAAUGACGGUACCCCUGGAGGAAGUCCCGGCUAACUACGUGCCAGCAGCCGCGGUAAUACGUAGGGGGCGAGCGUUAUCCGGAAUUAUUGGGCGUAAAGAGUACGUAGGUGGUUUUUUAAGCGCAGGGUUUAAGGCGAUGGCUCAACUGUCGUUGCCCUGUGAACUGGAAGACUUGAGUACAGGAGAGGAAAGCGGAAUUCCUAGUGUAGCGGUGAAAUGCAUAGAUAUUAGGAGGAACACCAGUGGCGAAGGCGGCUUUCUGGACUGUAACUGACACUGAGUCGAAAGCGUGGGGAGCAAA